Molecule: ribosomal RNA, 1119 nt
Filed under: uncultured Dysgonomonas sp.
Lineage: Bacteria; Pseudomonadati; Bacteroidota; Bacteroidia; Bacteroidales; Dysgonomonadaceae
Description: bacterial SSU rRNA
Rfam family: Bacterial small subunit ribosomal RNA
Source: RNAcentral
AGUGAGGAAUAUUGGUCAAUGGACGAGAGUCUGAACCAGCCAAAUCGCGUGAAGGAAGACUGCCCUACGGGUUGUAAACUUCUUUUGUACAGGAAUAAAAGAAUCUACGUGUAGAUUAUUGCAUGUACUGUACGAAUAAGCAUCGGCUAACUCCGUGCCAGCAGCCGCGGUAAUACGGAGGAUGCGAGCGUUAUCCGGAUUUAUUGGGUUUAAAGGGUGCGCAGGCGGGAUUUUAAGUCAGCGGUGAAAUUUUCAGGCUCAACCUGAACACUGCCGUUGAAACUGGGAUUCUUGAGUAUGGAUGAAGUAGGCGGAAUUCGUUGUGUAGCGGUGACAUGCUUAGAUAUAACGAGGAACUCCGAUUGCGUAGGCAGCUUACUAAGCCAUAACUGACGCUCAAGCACGAAAGCGUGGGGAUCAAACAGGAUUAGAUACCCUGGUAGUCCACGCCGUAAACGAUGAUUACUAGUUGUUUGCGAUAUACCGUAAGUGACUAAGCGAAAGCGAUAAGUAAUCCACCUGGGGAGUACGCCGGCAACGGUGAAACUCAAAGGAAUUGACGGGGGCCCGCACAAGCGGAGGAACAUGUGGUUUAAUUCGAUGAUACGCGAGGAACCUUACCCGGGCUUGAAAUGUACCUGACCGUCCUUGAAAAGGGACUUCUAGCAAUAGCAGGUAUGUAGGUGCUGCAUGGUUGUCGUCAGCUCGUGCCGUGAGGUGUCGGCUUAAGUGCCAUAACGAGCGCAACCCACAUUAUUAGUUACUAACAGGUUAAGCUGAGGACUCUAAUAAGACUGCCGUCGUAAGAUGCGAGGAAGGUGUGGAUGACGUCAAAUCAGCACGGCCCUUACGUCCGGGGCGACACACGUGUUACAAUGGGAGGUACAAAGGGCUGCUACCUGGUGACAGGAUGCUAAUCCCCAAAGCCUCUCCCAGUUUGGAUCGGAGUCUGCAACUCGACUCCGUGAAGCUGGAUUCGCUAGUAAUCGCGCAUCAGCCAUGGCGCGGUGAAUACGUUCCCGGGCCUUGUACACACCGCCCGUCAAGCCAUGGGAGCCGGGGGUAUCUGAAGUGCGUAACCGCAAGGAGCGUCCUAGGGUAAAACUGGUGACUGGGGCU